AGGCCUAACACAUGCAAGUCGAACGAAGGUACCAGAGCUUGCUUUGGUGCCUUAGUGGCGGACGGGUGAGUAACACGUGGGAAUCUACCCAGCAGUGUGGGAUAACUACUGGAAACGGCGGCUAAUACCGCAUACGCCCUUCGGGGGAAAGUUUUUUCGCUGUUGGAUGAGCCCCGCGUCCGAUUAGCUAGUUGGUAGGGUAAAAGCCUACCAAGGCUACGGUCGGUAGCUGGUCUGAGAGGAUGAUCAGCCACACUGGGACUGAGACACGGCCCAGACUCC
RNAcentral lists this ribosomal RNA (282 nucleotides) under uncultured bacterium. RNAcentral describes it as "partial 16S ribosomal RNA". It matches the Rfam family "Bacterial small subunit ribosomal RNA", at positions 46 to 339 of the family's 1533-position model. The record is from RNAcentral.